GUUAUAAAAUGAAUAGUUUGUAAUAUCACUUUUGCCGCUAAGAAUCACAGUCCUUCCUCGUAUUUUGUUUUGAAGAAUUGAAGGUCGCUUCUCUCUCUCUCACCCAAAGCCUCAGCCAUUACACUUGAAGAAACAUUAGCCGAUCAUUCUCAAAGAUUCCACGUGUAAAUCUAGAGACAAACAGCUAAUGUUUCGACAAGAGAUUACUACGAGUGUCAACGAGUUGGUGUGGCCAGCUGUGGGAAACGAAUUAUAUUCACAAUUUCGUGGGAAGCCAUCAAUAAUCUUCCCUCCCCUCAGGUUCUCCUUAAACCUAAUUUCUUUCCCUCUAAAUUUCAUGAAAAUAGAUAAUAUCUUGUAAAACUCAACUUCUCUGAUAUAUAGUAAGAAGCAAUUUUAACCAUUCCAUUUUGGAUAGAGGGUAAGAUUAUUAUUCCAUUUUAUACUUCAUUUCACUGGUAUGCUUACUCUUUCAAGGAAAACAAAGAGUUGAGAUUAAUUUUCUGUAAAAUAUUUUUAAUACUAUAUUAUAUUAUAUAAAAUCUGUUAUAUGGAGUUUACAAAGUUUUUAGCUUUUU
Long non-coding RNA from Vigna radiata var. radiata (mung bean), 578 nucleotides. RefSeq lists it as uncharacterized. The transcript has 3 exons. The record is from RefSeq and is a predicted model, not a curated record. NCBI's taxonomy places the organism in Eukaryota, Viridiplantae, Streptophyta, Magnoliopsida, Fabales, Fabaceae.